GGAAUAAAAGUCGUAACAAGGUUUCCGUAGGUGAACCUACGGAAGGAUCAUUCAUAAUAAAGUGUUUUAUGGCACUUUUUAAAAAUCCAUAUCCACCUUGUGUGCAAUGUUAGAUCUCGUCAAUCUUGGCGAGAUUUUUAUACAUCAACUCAUUCUUUAACUAAUUUGUCUGAAAAAUAUUAUGAAUACUUAAUUCAAAAUACAACUUUCAACAACGGAUCUCUUGGCUCUC
Molecule: unclassified non-coding RNA, 232 nt
Filed under: plant metagenome
Description: partial contains small subunit ribosomal RNA, internal transcribed spacer 1, and 5.8S ribosomal RNA
Rfam family: Eukaryotic small subunit ribosomal RNA (bases 1-53)
Source: RNAcentral